RNAcentral lists this ribosomal RNA (554 nucleotides) under uncultured Bacteroidota bacterium. RNAcentral's name for it is "bacterial SSU rRNA". It matches the Rfam family "Bacterial small subunit ribosomal RNA", at positions 329 to 883 of the family's 1533-position model. Lineage: Bacteria; Pseudomonadati; Bacteroidota. The record is from RNAcentral.
CACGGGGGGCCUACGGGAGGCAGCAGUGAGGAAUAUUGGACAAUGGGCGCAAGCCUGAUCCAGCCAUGCCGCGUGCAGGAUGACGGCCCUAUGGGUUGUAAACUGCUUUUGUACGGGAAGAAACACCUCCACGUGUGGAGGUUUGACGGUACCGUAAGAAUAAGCAUCGGCUAACUCCGUGCCAGCAGCCGCGGUAAUACGGAGGAUGCAAGCGUUAUCCGGAAUCAUUGGGUUUAAAGGGUCCGUAGGCGGACAAUUAAGUCAGGGGUGAAAUUCUGCGGCUCAACCGUAGAACUGCCCUUGAUACUGGUUGUCUUGAAUCGUUGUGAAGUGGUUAGAAUGAGUAGUGUAGCGGUGAAAUGCUUAGAGAUUACUCAGAAUACCGAUUGCGAAGGCAGAUCACUAACAACGUAUUGACGCUGAGGGACGAAAGCGUGGGGAGCGAACAGGAUUAGAUACCCUGGUAGUCCACGCCGUAAACGAUGGAUACUAGCUGUCCGGUCUUCGGACUGGGUGGCCAAGCGAAAGUGAUAAGUAUCCCACCUGGAGACCCG